Molecule: ribosomal RNA, 320 nt
Filed under: uncultured Bacillus sp.
Lineage: Bacteria; Bacillati; Bacillota; Bacilli; Caryophanales; Bacillaceae
Description: bacterial SSU rRNA
Rfam family: Bacterial small subunit ribosomal RNA
Source: RNAcentral
CGUGUCGUGAGAUGUUGGGUUAAGUCCCGCAACGAGCGCAACCCUUGAUCUUAGUUGCCAGCAUUCAGUUGGGCACUCUAAGGUGACUGCCGGUGACAAACCGGAGGAAGGUGGGGAUGACGUCAAAUCAUCAUGCCCCUUAUGACCUGGGCUACACACGUGCUACAAUGGACGGUACAGAGGGCUGCAAACCCGCGAGGGGGAGCCAAUCCCACAAAACCGUUCCCAGUUCGGAUUGCAGGCUGCAACUCGCCUGCAUGAAGCCGGAAUCGCUAGUAAUCGCGGAUCAGCGUGCCGCGGUGAAUACGUUCCCGGGCCUU